Carassius auratus (goldfish) is the source of this 247-nucleotide long non-coding RNA. RefSeq lists it as uncharacterized. The transcript is spliced from 3 exons. The record is from RefSeq and is a predicted model, not a curated record. NCBI's taxonomy places the organism in Eukaryota, Metazoa, Chordata, Actinopteri, Cypriniformes, Cyprinidae.
CGUAAGCGUGUGACUUUUAAUUCGUGACGUGCUUUCAUGGGCGUGCGCGCGGACCGGAUGGAGUUGGCAUGGAAACGGAGCGCAACACUGCAAAUGUCACGAGGAAACACCCCGUUUCUAGCUGAUUUCUCUGUUUUCAGGAAUGGUUUAAUGUCUUCGAAAAAGUCCGAUAGCGUUUCUACCGUUUUCAGACGACGUAUCGUCAGAAGUGAGUGUCCAAGAUUUCAAUAUUUCUGAAGGGAGCUGC